RNAcentral lists this non-coding RNA (351 nucleotides) under Pongo abelii (Sumatran orangutan). The record is from RNAcentral. Lineage: Eukaryota; Metazoa; Chordata; Mammalia; Primates; Hominidae.
UAAAGCAAGUGUGUUGUGCCCGGAGAGGAGACCCCCAGCUCCAGCUGGCUCAGCCACAUCCACCAUGCUGUGUGACUCCAGAUGCAUCACAGGCUGUCUCUGGCCCAGCCCCAGGCAGCGGGAGAAGAAAGCUCAGGAGUCCGUGGAAAUGCAGGGACACCGCCCCUCGUGCCCUGGAAGAGGCUCCAUAGUCCACCCCCAGCCUUCCAGCUUGAGUUCCACCUUCAACUCCACUCGUGAUCACACAGGGCUGGGCUCUCUCCAUGUCCCCUGCAUCGCCCAGGACGGCCCAGUCUCCAAGGACAUCCAUGUAUGCAAAAUAAAAUCCCUCUGCUAGGCGUGCCCUGCACG